CAAAAUCAAUACCAACCUUCCUUUUAUGGUCAUAAACCUUGUGUUUAAAUUUCAUAGAUUUAUAUUUACUUAUACUAACGUUAUGGUGCGAAAACCAAGAAAAAUGCUUAUUUGGGUCCCUUUUUGGCCCCUAAUAAAAUCAUGGCCAAACUAUAAAUUGGCAUACAAAUUAGGAACAUCAUAUCAUAGAAAUCAUGUGUACUAAGUAUAAAGUUGAUUGGAAUUUUACUUCAUCUAAAAUUAUCUUGACUUAAAAAACUUUAACCUGAAGCAAUGCAGACGAGCAGACUGACACAGACUAAAAAACGUUGGGGCAUAAAAAAUUGAAAUACAGGUAAAGCUAUACACAAUUGUGCAUUAAUAAGAUCUUUUUUCCAACUGACAUAACCAACCAAUUAUAAAUUGGAAAGAAAAAAAUCAUGAGUUAAAAUACAUGUACCUAGUGAUAUAGACUGAGACAUGCAUAACAAACAAUUUCAAGAGUAUAAAAACAACAUUUAAAAGAAAUCUUACAGAGAUUCAAAAUAUUUGAAUGGGCCAAUUAUGGCAGCCUAUUAGGGAUUAUGUUAUUGUAAUCAUUCCUAACAAAAUUAAUGCAUACAAUUUUGGGGCCCUUUAAAGCUUGUUGUCGUGUGUGAGCCAAGCUUUUGUUGAAGGCCGUACAUUGACCUAUAAUGGUUUACUUUUUUUAAAUUGUUGUUUGGAUGGAGAGUUGUCUCAUUGGCACUCAUAACACAUCUUCCUAUAUCUAUAUACAAUUAAAAUCAAUGAUUAAUAAAAUGGAGAAUGAAAAUAAGGAAUGUGUUAAAGAGCAGUGACAGAUCCAAGGGAUUAGGGGUUUGAACCAGCCAUUGAACACCCCCAUUCUUUUUUUUAUGAUCAAUGCUUUUGAUUGGGAACAAAUGGUUGGAAUCUCCUAUUCAAAAUGGCUUGGUCCGCCCCUGAGGAGAUAACAAUGAAAAGCUAUAAAGAAAUGACAAAAAAAUGACAAAAAGAACCUAAAUGUUAACAUAAUGUUUCCGUAAAUAAUGCUGAGUUCACAUGUAAUUCGAAUUUGAUUUGUAUCAAUAUUAAAAAAUUAGUUUAAUUCGCAUUCGAAGCGUUUAACGUCAAUUCUAAUUUGAAUUGCAAUGCGUGUCAAAUUCCCUUUACUCUCCAAACGACGUUAAUUUUUAAGUAUUAACAAAAGCAUAUUUCUAAUGCGAAUUAGAUAAUUGGAAUUAGCCAAUUAUAAUCAAUUUGAAUUAAA
RNAcentral lists this long non-coding RNA (1249 nucleotides) under Mytilus galloprovincialis (Mediterranean mussel). The record is from RNAcentral. Lineage: Eukaryota; Metazoa; Mollusca; Bivalvia; Mytilida; Mytilidae.